CAUCAUAUAUUCCCCCUACCUACGCCCAUCGACAGUGCAGUGCAUGCAGGCGAAUCGCGGGGAAAGCCGCCGCCAAUUAUCAAACGGAAAAAAUUAACGCAUAGCAUUCCAAUUUCGUUGUCUGUUUUUUUUCAUCUUUUUCUCCCUCUCGCUCGCUCGCUCUCUCUUUCUGUCUCUCCCCUCAUUUGGUGUGCCUUUUUUGUACACUGCUGCUGCGGCCGUGUGCCGACCGACCGACCGACCGUGCUGCUACCCGCUCCCGCACCGCUCCUCGCUGUUGCGACGCGCUCUUUUGUUGGCCCGCAGACGGCCGGACGGGACAAACUGACAGCCAAGACGAAUCGUAUAUUUUUUUUGUUUUUGCUUUUUCGGUUUUCAAUUGAAAGCGAUGAAAUUCUCAUGCGUGUGUGUAUUUAAUCAAUUAUUUUAGCAUUCGAGUGCAAGCAUUGCUGAAGGGAAAAUACAGCAGCAGCACCAACAACAACAACAAUGAAACAUGUUUUUAUGCAGCAGCGGAAAUAACAACAACAACCAAAGCAGCAGCUGCAACAAUCAACAAAAACAACAAGCUCCAUUUGCUGUUUGUGGAAUAAAGCAAUAAUAACAUAGAAAACAAGCGUCAGUGUAAAAUUAAUAACAAAAGCAGCGGCAUCGGUAGAACAGCAGCAGCAGCAUUCAGUCCAAAAGCAACUCCUUUUAGAGCUCUCUCUCUCUCUCUAUGGACCACCAACAGCUGUCUGAUUUUCAAAUGAUUAUUAUGCAGAGAGGGUAAAGGAAAAAACAACAGACAGCAGCCACCGGCACAGUGGAACGUGAAAGCAACGGGAUUACAGUGGAACAGACAGCAAGGAUUACAAACAGCUGCUGCACAGUGGAACACCGGGGAUUACCAUGGAAAAAACCGGCAAUGAAAAUGAAAAUGAAAAUCCUACAAAAACGGAUUGAUUAUUGUUUUUAGACUUUAACAUUUUUUUUUUGUAAUACUGUGUGUUGGAUUCAUCGUGAAUUUUUCAAAUGGAAUACCAAUAAUAAUUGUGAAAUGUUUGCAUUGGAUGAUACCCCGCAAAAUGUGCAACCGCAGCAGAGCCGUCGCGACCACAAAUCUUAAAGAAAAUUCCUUUAAGAUCAAUAACAAUACAAAUUGCGGUAAUCUAACAAAAACUACCAUAACCUAAGAAAACAAAGAAAAACAAAGCAAAACAAAAGGCAAGAAACAG
RNAcentral lists this small RNA (1217 nucleotides) under Drosophila pseudoobscura pseudoobscura. RNAcentral describes it as "GA30802". Lineage: Eukaryota; Metazoa; Arthropoda; Insecta; Diptera; Drosophilidae. The record is from RNAcentral.